GACGUCCGAUAUGGGGAACAUUUUAUUUGGAGAGAUCUUGAUUGAGCAUUAUUUUAUCUUCAUUUUCCAUUAAGGCAAUAACAUUCCCCCUGGAGGCAGACGGGGGGGAGAAUCGUCUGGGGGCUACAUUAAGUGCAGAUUAAGACAAAGCCAACCACUUUGCAAUCAAAUGCAUUAGAAAUACAGAUUAUGGGCUAGGAGAAGCCAUAUCUUGGCUUCCUGAGCCCACUGACAAGGAGCAGACUGGGAUAAUGCAUUUCAGUCUCUUUGAAAAAUGACUAAGUUCCACUACACACCACCCCUAAAGCAGAUACCUCCUCCAUGAACACGUUCACCAUGACAGAAGGGGUCUGGCAUCAGUGCCCAAUGCUCUGUUGCUAUUUAGCCUUUGGUAAGUUUUCAAGGAAAUUGCAGGCUAUUAGAACUGCUCAAGAGUACAGUGUUCCUUGGGUUUUGUUUAAGAAUUCUUUAAAUAUCCAGUAAAUUAACUCUUCAUAAAGCGACUGUGCCUGUUCCUAGCCAGCUUGAUACCUGGCUAGGUAUGUGUAUAUGUGAGUGUGUUGGUGGGGGUCAAGUUUGGGGUUGAGGUGGGGGCACUGUUCAUUGGCACAUAUGACCCCUGGGCAUUUGGGGGUACCAAAAAAGUAAACAUGAUCCUAUGGCCCGGCAGACAUCAUAUGCACUAUGAUCUAAGAGCUAAUGAAAUCAGAACAAGCAGUUCCCAGUCGCCAGAUAUUUAGCCACACUGUAUAACUAGAUCUAAUAAAACA
This 770-nucleotide long non-coding RNA is filed under the name Bos taurus (domestic cattle). RNAcentral's name for it is "long non-coding RNA NONBTAT004200". The record is from RNAcentral. Lineage: Eukaryota; Metazoa; Chordata; Mammalia; Artiodactyla; Bovidae.